CCAGACUCCUACGGGAGGCAGCAGUGGGGAAUAUUGCACAAUGGGGGAAACCCUGAUGCAGCGACGCCGCGUGAGUGAGGAAGUAUUUCGGUAUGUAAAGCUCUAUCAGCAGGGAAGAAAAUGACGGUACCUGACUAAGAAGCCCCGGCUAACUACGUGCCAGCAGCCGCGGUAAUACGUAGGGGGCAAGCGUUAUCCGGAUUUACUGGGUGUAAAGGGAGCGUAGACGGCUAAUCAAGUCAGAAGUGAAAACCCAGGGCUCAACCUUGGGAGUGCUUUUGAAACUGAGUAGCUAGAGUGCAGGAGAGGUAAGCGGAAUUCCUAGUGUAGCGGUGAAAUGCGUAGAUAUUAGGAGGAACACCAGUGGCGAAGGCGGCUUACUGGACUGUAACUGACGUUGAGGCUCGAAAGCGUGGGGAGCAAACAGGAUUAGAUACCCCAGUA
RNAcentral lists this ribosomal RNA (444 nucleotides) under uncultured bacterium. RNAcentral's name for it is "bacterial SSU rRNA". It matches the Rfam family "Bacterial small subunit ribosomal RNA", at positions 331 to 792 of the family's 1533-position model. The record is from RNAcentral.